This 497-nucleotide ribosomal RNA is filed under the name uncultured bacterium. RNAcentral's name for it is "partial 16S ribosomal RNA". It matches the Rfam family "Bacterial small subunit ribosomal RNA", at positions 28 to 507 of the family's 1533-position model. The record is from RNAcentral.
GAUGAACGCUGGCGGCGUGCCUAAUACAUGCAAGUCGAGCGAACGGACGAGAAGCUUGCUUCUCUGAUGUUAGCGGCGGGCGGGUGAGUAACACGUGGAUAACCUACCUAUAAGACUGGGAUAACUUCGGGAAACCGGAGCUAAUACCGGAUAAUAUUUUGAACCGCAUGGUUCAAAAGUGAAAGACGGUCUUGCUGUCACUUAUAGAUGGAUCCGCGCUGCAUUAGCUAGUUGGUAAGGUAACGGCUUACCAAGGCAACGAUGCAUAGCCGACCUGAGAGGGUGAUCGGCGACCCUGGAAGUGAGACAGGGUCCAGACUCCUACGGGAGGCAGCAGUAGGGAAUCGUCCGCAAUGGGCGAAAGCAUGACGGAGCAACGCCGCGUGAGUGAUGAAGGUCUUCGGAUCGUAAAACUCUGUUAUUAGGGAAGAACAUAUGUGUAAGUAACUGUGCACAUCUUGACGGUACCUAAUCAGAAAGCCACGGCUAACUACGUG